GACGAACGCUGGCGGCGGGCUUAACACAUGCAAGUCGAACGGAAAGGCCCUGCGUGUGUGGUGUGCUCGAGUGGCGAACGGGUGAGGAACACGUGAGUAACCUGCCCUUGACUUUGGGAUAACUUAAGGAAACUGGGGCUAAUACCAGAUAGGAGCUCCUGCUGCAUGGUGGGGGGUGGAAAGUUUCGGCGGGUGGGGAUGGACUCGCGGCUGAUCAGCUUGUUGGUGGGGGAGUGGCUUACCAAGGCUUUGACGGGUAGCCGGCCUGAGAGGGUGACCGGCCACAUUGGGACUGAGAGACGGACCAGACUGCUACGGGAGGCAGUAGUGGGGAACAUUGCACAAUGGGCGGACGCCUGAUGCAGAAACGCCGCGUUCGGGAUGACGGCCUUCGGGGUGUAAAAAGCUUUAGCCUGUGACGACGCGUGAGUGACGGUAAUGGGUAAAGAAGCACCGGCUAACUACGUG
Molecule: ribosomal RNA, 468 nt
Filed under: uncultured bacterium
Lineage: Bacteria
Description: partial 16S ribosomal RNA
Rfam family: Bacterial small subunit ribosomal RNA
Source: RNAcentral